CCUGUCAACUGCAGAACAAGGUUAUGUUUGUUAACAGCAAGCGUAAUUGAUGGUAUGCGGAGAGGAAGGGACGGCUAACUCUGUGC
Molecule: ribosomal RNA, 86 nt
Filed under: uncultured bacterium
Lineage: Bacteria
Description: partial 16S ribosomal RNA
Source: RNAcentral